RNAcentral lists this ribosomal RNA (460 nucleotides) under uncultured bacterium. Its description in RNAcentral is "partial 16S ribosomal RNA". It matches the Rfam family "Bacterial small subunit ribosomal RNA", at positions 338 to 795 of the family's 1533-position model. The record is from RNAcentral.
CCUACGGGAGGCAGCAGUGAGGAAUAUUGGUCAAUGGACGAGAGUCUGAACCAGCCAAGUAGCGUGAAGGAUGACUGCCCUAUGGGUUGUAAACUUCUUUUAUAAAGGAAUAAAACGAGGCACGUGUGCCUUUUUGCAUGUACUUUAUGAAUAAGGAUCGGCAAACUCCGUGCCAGCAGCCGCGGUAAUACGGGGGAUCCGAGCGUUAACCGGAUUUAUUGGGUUUAAAGGGAGCGUAGAUGGGUUGUUAAGUCAGUUGUGAAAGUUUGCGGCUCAACCGUAAAAUUGCAAUUGAUACUGGCAGUCGUGAGUACAGUUGAGGUAGGCGGAAUUCGUGGUGUAGCGGUGAAAUGCUUAGAUAUCACGAAGAACCCCGAUUGCGAAGGCAGCUUACUAAACUGUGACUGACAUUGAUGCUCGAAAGUGUGGGUAUCAAACAGGAUUAGAUACCCGGGUAGUC